UCCUCAAUAGUCUAUCGGUUAGGAUAUGGCCCUUUCAAGGCUGAGAGCGGGGUUCGAUUCCCCGUUGAGGAA
RNAcentral lists this transfer RNA (72 nucleotides) under archaeon. Its description in RNAcentral is "tRNA-Glu". It matches the Rfam family "tRNA". Rfam says of the family: Transfer RNA (tRNA) molecules are approximately 80 nucleotides in length. Their secondary structure includes four short double-helical elements and three loops (D, anti-codon, and T loops). Further hydrogen bonds mediate the characteristic L-shaped molecular structure. tRNAs have two regions of fundamental functional importance: the anti-codon, which is responsible for specific mRNA codon recognition, and the 3' end, to which the tRNAs corresponding amino acid is attached (by aminoacyl-tRNA synthetases). tRNAs cope with the degeneracy of the genetic code in two manners: having more than one tRNA (with a specific anti-codon) for a particular amino acid; and 'wobble' base-pairing, i.e. permitting non-standard base-pairing at the 3rd anti-codon position. The record is from RNAcentral.